UGCCAGCCGCCGCGGUAAUACAGAGGGUGCGUGCGUUAAUCGGAAUUACUGGGCGUAAAGGGCGCGUAGGCGGCCUGAUAAGUCGGAUGUGAAAGCCCCAGGCUUAACCUGGGAAUUGCAUUCGAUACUGUCAAGCUAGAGUAUGGCAGAGGAAAGCGGAAUUCCGAGUGUAGGAGUGAAAUCCGUAGAUAUUCGGAGGAACACCAGUGGCGAAGGCGGCUUUCUGGACCAAUACUGACGCUGAGAUGCGAAAGCGUGGGGAGCGAACAGGAUUAGCUA
RNAcentral lists this ribosomal RNA (279 nucleotides) under uncultured bacterium. Its description in RNAcentral is "partial 16S ribosomal RNA". It matches the Rfam family "Bacterial small subunit ribosomal RNA", at positions 506 to 784 of the family's 1533-position model. The record is from RNAcentral.